AAUAUGUCUAAAUCUCUUAAGUUUGUAUAUGUUACGAUUAUUUUUCUUUUCUUAUUCAUCAAAAGUUCGUGUUAUGUUGGUAAGUCUAAAUUUUUAAUUUUUAUUCUUUAAUUUAUUUAUUUAUUUUAUACACAAUUUUUCAUUCUUUAUUAUUAAUAUUAAUUUUUCUUAUUUGAUAUUAAAGGAUUGGAUUUAUGCAGUUCUGAUAAAGAUUGUCGUCAUACUACUUGUUCGUUUCGUAAAAUUGCAAAGUGCAUAAAGCACAUUUGCGAAUGUGUGAAUGUGUAUAAAUGAAGAUAAUACUUCUAACACAGAUGUGAUAGUUGUGUUAAUAAAUGACGAUAUUUUUAUGAUUUAAUUAUUGGAUUUAUUUAUUUAUUUUUAAUGAUUUUUAUAGUAUAAUAUAAUUUUGUGUUAAAAAAAUAUAAAAGGAUUUUUAUACAAAUUUUAAAUAAAGUUUUUGUUUAAAC
This 470-nucleotide long non-coding RNA is filed under the name Lathyrus oleraceus (garden pea). Its description in RNAcentral is "Pisum sativum (pea) long non-coding RNA (PSAT_LNC000350)". Lineage: Eukaryota; Viridiplantae; Streptophyta; Magnoliopsida; Fabales; Fabaceae. The record is from RNAcentral.